GACGAACGCUGGCGGCGUGCUUAACACAUGCAAGUCGAGCGGGAUCCAACCGGUGGCAACACCGGGGAAGAUCUAGCGGCGAACGGGUGAGUAACACGUGAGCAACCUGCCCCGAAGACUGGGAUAACACCGGGAAACCGGUGCUAAUACCGGAUGUCCUCCUCUGGUCGCAUGGCCUAGGGAGGAAACGAAUUUUGCUUCGGGAGGGGCUCGCGGGCUAUCAGCUUGUUGGUGAGGUAACGGCNCACCAAGGCGACGACGGCUAGCUGGUCUGAGAGGACGACCAGCCACACUGGGACUGAGACACGGCCCAGACUCCUACGGGAGGCAGCAGUGGGGAAUCUUGCGCAAUGGGCGAAAGCCUGACGCAGCAACGCCGCGUGGGGAUGAAUGCC
Molecule: ribosomal RNA, 395 nt
Filed under: uncultured bacterium
Lineage: Bacteria
Description: bacterial SSU rRNA
Rfam family: Bacterial small subunit ribosomal RNA
Source: RNAcentral